UACGUAGGUGGCAAGCGUUGUCCGGAUUUACUGGGUGUAAAGGGCGUGUAGCCGGGUUGACAAGUCAGAUGUGAAAUCCUGCGGCUUGACCGCAGAACUGCAUUUGAAACUGUUGAUCUUGAGUACUGGAGAGGCAGACGGAAUUCCUAGUGUAGCGGUGAAAUGCGUAGAUAUUAGGAGGAACACCAGUGGCGAAGGCGGUCUGCUGGACAGCAACUGACGGUGAGGCGCGAAAGCGUGGGGAGCAAACAGG
RNAcentral lists this ribosomal RNA (253 nucleotides) under uncultured bacterium. RNAcentral describes it as "partial 16S ribosomal RNA". It matches the Rfam family "Bacterial small subunit ribosomal RNA", at positions 524 to 776 of the family's 1533-position model. The record is from RNAcentral.